RNAcentral lists this ribosomal RNA (492 nucleotides) under uncultured bacterium. RNAcentral describes it as "partial 16S ribosomal RNA". It matches the Rfam family "Bacterial small subunit ribosomal RNA", at positions 29 to 507 of the family's 1533-position model. The record is from RNAcentral.
AGUGAACGCUGGCGGUAGGCCUAACACAUGCAAGUCGAACGGCAGCACAGUAAGAGCUUGCUCUUACGGGUGGCGAGUGGCGGACGGGUGAUGAAUACAUCGGAAUCUACUUUUUCGUGGGGGCUAACGUAGGGACACUUACGCUAAUACCGCAUACGACCUACGUGUGAAAGCAGCGGAUCUUCGGACCUUGCGCGAUUGAAUGUGCCGAGGUCGGAUUAGCUAGUUGGCGGGGUAAAGGCCCACCAAGGCGACGAUCCGUAGCUGGUCUGAGAGGAUGAUCAGCCACACUGGAACUGAGACACGGUCCAGACUCCUACGGGAGGCAGCAGUGGGGAAUAUUGGACAAUGGGCGAAAGCCUGAUCCAGCCAUACCGCGUGGGUGAAGAAGGCCUUCGGGUUGUAAAGCCCUUUUGUUGGGAAAGAAAAGCAGCAGGUUAAUACCCCGCUGUUCUGACGGUACCAAAAGAAUAAGCACCGGCUAACUUCGUG